This 3003-nucleotide ribosomal RNA is filed under the name Salmonella enterica. RNAcentral describes it as "23S ribosomal RNA". It matches the Rfam family "Bacterial large subunit ribosomal RNA". Lineage: Bacteria; Pseudomonadati; Pseudomonadota; Gammaproteobacteria; Enterobacterales; Enterobacteriaceae. The record is from RNAcentral.
GGGUUGUGAGGUUAAGCGACUAAGCGUACACGGUGGAUGCCCUGGCAGUCAGAGGCGAUGAAGGGCGUGCUAAUCUGCGAUAAGCGCCGGUAAGGUGAUAUGAACCGUUAUAACCGGCGAUACCCGAAUGGGGAAACCCAGUGUGAUUCGUCACACUAUCAUUAACUGAAUCCAUAGGUUAAUGAGGCGAACCGGGGGAACUGAAACAUCUAAGUACCCCGAGGAAAAGAAAUCAACCGAGAUUCCCCCAGUAGCGGCGAGCGAACGGGGAGGAGCCCAGAGCCUGAAUCAGCAUGUGUGUUAGUGGAAGCGUCUGGAAAGGUGCGCGAUACAGGGUGACAGCCCCGUACACAAAAGCGCAUGUGCUGUGAGCUCGAUGAGUAGGGCGGGACACGUGGUAUCCUGUCUGAAUAUGGGGGGACCAUCCUCCAAGGCUAAAUACUCCUGACUGACCGAUAGUGAACCAGUACCGUGAGGGAAAGGCGAAAAGAACCCCGGCGAGGGGAGUGAAAAAGAACCUGAAACCGUGUACGUACAAGCAGUGGGAGCACAGGUUUACCUGUGUGACUGCGUACCUUUUGUAUAAUGGGUCAGCGACUUAUAUUCUGUAGCAAGGUUAACCGUAUAGGGGAGCCGUAGGGAAACCGAGUCUUAACCGGGCGUUAAGUUGCAGGGUAUAGACCCGAAACCCGGUGAUCUAGCCAUGGGCAGGUUGAAGGUUGGGUAACACUAACUGGAGGACCGAACCGACUAAUGUUGAAAAAUUAGCGGAUGACCUGUGGCUGGGGGUGAAAGGCCAAUCAAACCGGGAGAUAGCUGGUUCUCCCCGAAAGCUAUUUAGGUAGCGCCUCGUGAAUUCAUCUCCGGGGGUAGAGCACUGUUUCGGCUAGGGGGCCAUCCCGGCUUACCAACCCGAUGCAAACUGCGAAUACCGGAGAAUGUUAUCACGGGAGACACACGGCGGGUGCUAACGUCCGUCGUGAAGAGGGAAACAACCCAGACCGCCAGCUAAGGUCCCAAAGUCAUGGUUAAGUGGGAAACGAUGUGGGAAGGCCCAGACAGCCAGGAUGUUGGCUUAGAAGCAGCCAUCAUUUAAAGAAAGCGUAAUAGCUCACUGGUCGAGUCGGCCUGCGCGGAAGAUGUAACGGGGCUAAACCAUGCACCGAAGCUGCGGCAGCGAACGUAUCACCCAAGACAACUUUACGGAGUUGACGAUUGACGGAGCGAAGCGACGUCAAAGCGUUCAUUAAAGUCGAGUUGGCUUAGGGAUACGUUCGUUGGGUAGGGGAGCGUUCUGUAAGCCUGUGAAGGUGUGUCGUGAGGCAUGCUGGAGGUAUCAGAAGUGCGAAUGCUGACAUAAGUAACGAUAAAGCGGGUGAAAAGCCCGCUCGCCGGAAGACCAAGGGUUCCUGUCCAACGUUAAUCGGGGCAGGGUGAGUCGACCUAAGGCGAGGCCGAAAGGCGUAGUCGAUGGGAAACGGGUUAAUAUUCCCGUACUUGGUGUUACUGCGAAGGGGACGGAGAAGGCUAUGUUGGCCGGGCGACGGUUGUCCCGGUUUAAGCGUGUAGGUGUGUGUUCCGUAAAUCCGGUUCACUUUAACACUGAGGCGUGACGACGAGGCACUACGGUGCUGAAGCAACAAAUGCCCUGCUUCCGUGAAAAGCCUCUAAGCAUCAGGUAACACGAAAUCGUACCCCAAACCGACACAGGUGGUCAGGUAGAGAAUACCAAGGCGCUUGAGAGAACUCGGGUGAAGGAACUAGGCAAAAUGGUGCCGUAACUUCGGGAGAAGGCACGCUGACACGUAGGUGAAGUGAUUUACUCAUGGAGCUGAAGUCAGUCGAAGAUACCAGCUGGCUGCAACUGUUUAUUAAAAACACAGCACUGUGCAAACACGAAAGUGGACGUAUACGGUGUGACGCCUGCCCGGUGCCGGAAGGUUAAUUGAUGGGGUCAGCGUAAGCGAAGCUCCUGAUCGAAGCCCCGGUAAACGGCGGCCGUAACUAUAACGGUCCUAAGGUAGCGAAAUUCCUUGUCGGGUAAGUUCCGACCUGCACGAAUGGCGUAAUGAUGGCCAGGCUGUCUCCACCCGAGACUCAGUGAAAUUGAACUCGCUGUGAAGAUGCAGUGUACCCGCGGCAAGACGGAAAGACCCCGUGAACCUUUACUAUAGCUUGACACUGAACAUUGAGCCUUGAUGUGUAGGAUAGGUGGGAGGCUUUGAAGUGUGGACGCCAGUCUGCAUGGAGCCGACCUUGAAAUACCACCCUUUAAUGUUUGAUGUUCUAACGUGGACCCGUAAUCCGGGUUGCGGACAGUGUCUGGUGGGUAGUUUGACUGGGGCGGUCUCCUCCUAAAGAGUAACGGAGGAGCACGAAGGUUGGCUAAUCUGGUCGGACAUCAGGAGGUUAGUGCAAUGGCAUAAGCCAGCUUGACUGCGAGCGUGACGGCGCGAGCAGGUGCGAAAGCAGGUCAUAGUGAUCCGGUGGUUCUGAAUGGAAGGGCCAUCGCUCAACGGAUAAAAGGUACUCCGGGGAUAACAGGCUGAUACCGCCCAAGAGUUCAUAUCGACGGCGGUGUUUGGCACCUCGAUGUCGGCUCAUCACAUCCCGGGCUGAAGUAGGUCCCAAGGGUAUGGCUGUUCGCCAUUUAAAGUGGUACGCGAGCUGGGUUUAGAACGUCGUGAGACAGUUCGGUCCCUAUCUGCCGUGGGCGCUGGAGAACUGAGGGGCUGCUCCUAGUACGAGAGGACCGGAGUGGACGCAUCACUGGUGUUCGGGUUGUCAUGCCAAUGGCACUGCCCGGUAGCUAAAUGCGGAAGAGAUAAGUGCUGAAAGCAUCUAAGCACGAAACUUGCCCCGAGAUGAGUUCUCCCUGAGACUUAGAGUCUCCUGAAGGAACGUUGAAGACGACGACGUUGAUAGGCCGGGUGUGUAAGCGCAGCGAUGCGUUGAGCUAACCGGUACUAAUGAACCGUGAGGCUUAACCUUACAACGCCGAAG